Helianthus annuus (common sunflower) is the source of this 507-nucleotide long non-coding RNA. RefSeq lists it as uncharacterized. The record is from RefSeq and is a predicted model, not a curated record. NCBI's taxonomy places the organism in Eukaryota, Viridiplantae, Streptophyta, Magnoliopsida, Asterales, Asteraceae. The transcript is spliced from 2 exons.
AUGAGAAGAUAUGGCUAUGUUUCAGAUAAUAAAUAGAAAAUAAUAUUAUUGCGGUACUUUGACCCUGUUGGUGCACACCCUACUGGUGAGAUUGGUGAACACUCACGUGGGGUCCCCAACACUCAUAUGUUUUUUCAGUAAGUUGCCAUUGGGAGCCUGCCUGAACUGAAGAGUUUUUGGAACUGACUACUUAACUAAAGAUGGAACAAGGGUACAGGAUUAUAUCCAUGUACAUUUAGCUGACGGAUACGCUGCUGCAUUGAAAAAGCUCCCUGUCCCAAAAAUAGGUGUGUCUAUGUAUUUUUUCCCUACUAAUUACAGUUUAAAGAAAUAUGCAAAAUUGAUACAUAGGGUUGUUUCAUUUGUGUCAAGCUGCUGCUGUAUUUGGAGGGAAAAGUUUGGCAACCCAAAUAUCUGAGAGAUUUGCAUAUGAGGUUUAUGUUUUUAUAAGACUUGUCUACAUAUUUAUUAAAAAUUUGAAUUAAAUGUUUAUUAAUUAAUCUGAUA